GCGGGUGUGGCGAAAUUGGCAGACGCACCAGAUUUAGGUUCUGGCGCCGAGAGGCGUGGGGGUUCAAGUCCCUUCACCCGCA
Molecule: transfer RNA, 82 nt
Filed under: Aquiluna sp.
Lineage: Bacteria; Bacillati; Actinomycetota; Actinomycetes; Micrococcales; Microbacteriaceae
Also listed under: 2 other names
Description: tRNA-Leu
Rfam family: tRNA
About the family: Transfer RNA (tRNA) molecules are approximately 80 nucleotides in length. Their secondary structure includes four short double-helical elements and three loops (D, anti-codon, and T loops).
Source: RNAcentral